GAAAGAGAGCCGCGCGGUGUCGUGCCCUGUCGCCUGACGACGGAGGCGGCACCGUGAGCUGCGUGCGGCGGGGCGUCCACGGAGGCGGCGAGUUUGGCCCCUCGGUCUGCACACAGCGGCGACGUGGGGGUGGCGAGCUGGCCCCUUCAAACCAUCCAAGUGCCAAGUAAGUUGGGUUUCGAGGUCAAAUUCCCCAUCCAAAAAACGCAAGAAAAAUGCCCGCGCGCCAACUCCGCCGCCGCCACCACCUCACCAUCGCCGCCGCUGCCGCCGCUAAAUCCCACGCCACGCUGCUCAAGUCCGGCGUCACCUCCCCGACGCCCUGGAACCAGCUCCUCACCGCCUACUCGCUCUCCCCGCUCGGCCUCGCCGCCGCGCGCCAGGUGUUCGACCAAAUCCCCCACCCGGACGCCGCCUCCUGGAACUCCCUCCUCACCGCUUAUGUCUCCGCCGGGGCGCACCCCGCCGCGUGCAGCCUCCUCCAGGCCAUGCACGCCCGGGGGCUCGCCGCAAACACCUUCGCCCUCGGCCCUGCUCUCCACUCCGCUGCUGCCAUGGGCUGCCCUGCUCUCGGCACCCAGCUGCACUCGCUCAUCGUCAAAGCUAGCCUGGCCGACAAUGUCUUCGCUGCGACCGCAUUGCUUCACAUGUAUGCUAAGUGUGGCCGCACGAGCGAUGCCCGUCGGGUGUUCGAUGGAAUGCCGGAGCGGAACACUGUUUCUUGGAACGCCCUCGUUGCUGGUUAUGUGGAGUCUGGGAAGGUUGCUCCAGCAGUUUGGCUGUUUGUUGAGAUGGAGAGGGAGGGGUUGCUUCCUGAUGAGGCAACAUUCGCGGCGUUGCUCACAGCGGUCGAUGACUCCAGUCAUUUCUUGAUGCAUCAGCUGCAUGGGAAGAUUGUCAAAUAUGGAUCGGCAUUGGGUUUGAUAGUGUCGAAUGCAGCAAUCACUGCCUACUCACAAUGUGGGGCCCUGGCAAAUUCUAGAAGGAUCUUUGAUGAAAUUGGGAACAGAAGGGAUUUGAUCUCAUGGAACGCAAUGCUUGGAGCUUACGCUUCCCAUGGGAUGGAGCAUGAGGCGAUGGGAUUCUUUGCUAACAUGAUGCGAGCGGGUGGAGUGCAGCCUGACAUGUAUAGUUUCACAAGUAUCAUAAGUGCGUGCGCAGAGCAUCGUGAUCACGGAGGGACAGUAAUUCAUGGUUUGGUGAUCAAGAAGGGCUUUGAAGGAGUCACACCUGUUUGCAAUGCUCUAAUUGCCAUGUACACUCGAUUUAGUGAGAACUGCAUGAUGGAAGAUGCAUAUAAGUGCUUUGAUUCCUUGCUGCUCAAGGACACCGUCUCCUGGAAUUCUAUGUUAACUGGGUAUUCGCAGCACGGCUUGAGCGCUGAUGCCUUGAGAUUCUUCAGAUGUAUGCAGUCAGAAAUUAUUAGAACUGACGAGUAUGCAUUCUCUGCUGCCCUGCGUUCAUGCUCAGACCUUGCUUUACUUCGGCUAGGUAGACAAAUACACGGUUUAGUCAUCCAUUCUGGUUUUGCUUCCAACAAUUUUGUUUCCAGCUCGCUGAUCUUCAUGUAUUCUAAGAGCGGCAUUCUGGAUGAUGCAAUGAAGUCUUUUGAGGAGGCAGAUAAGACUAGCUCUGUGCCCUGGAACUCUAUGAUGUUUGGUUAUGCGCAGCAUGGACAGGCGCAGGCCGUGCGCAACCUUUUCAAUGAGAUGCUGGAGCUUAAGGUUCCUUUGGAUCAUAUUACAUUUGUUGGCCUGAUUACUGCAUGCAGUCAUGCUGGUCUUGUAGACGAAGGUUCAGAAAUCCUCAAUACCAUGGAAACUAGGUAUGGAAUUCCUCUUCGGAUGGAGCAUUAUGCAUGUGGCAUUGAUCUUUAUGGGAGGGCUGGGCAGCUUGACAAAGCAAAAGAGCUUAUUGACUCUAUGCCAUUUGAACCAGAUGCCAUGGUGUGGAUGACCCUAUUAGGUGCUUGCAGAAUCCAUGGGAAUAUGGAACUAGCGAGUGAUGUGGCCAGCCAUCUGUUGGAGGCAGAACCUAGACAGCACUCCACCUAUGUUCUCCUCUCCAGCAUGUAUUCUGGUCUUGGGAUGUGGAGUGAUAGAGCAAUAGUGCAGAGGGAAAUGAAGAAUAAAGGAUUAAGCAAAGUCCCUGGUUGGAGCUGGAUCGAGGUGAAGAAUGAGGUGCACUCUUUCAAUGCACAGGAUGGGUCGCACCCAAAGAUGGAGGAAAUAUAUGAGAUGUUGAGUUUGUUGGUUCAAAAUUUUCCCAUGCAGCUGCUGCGUCAAGAAACAAGUGGAGCCAUCGACUUCUAACUAUCAAAUUAUGGGCAUUAACCAGCCAGCCCCUGUUGGAGAUGAUUGAGCACACUUCUCUUGUAUAUUCUGUGGAUGCACAUUCAUCUGCUCUGAUUGCUAGUGGCAGUGAAGACCGCUGUGUCAAUAUAUGGAAGACAAGAAUAGCAGAGGGAGAGAGACAAUGCUAGCUGGAAGAUCAUUAUGUAAACAAGAAACUUCAUUCUAGGUGGAAGGGAAGCCUCCCUCCUGCUGUUUGGAGCUUUUGAAUGCAAUUUUGCUGCCGCGCCAUGAAAUGAAGUUCAAUAUUUUGACAGUUUUGGCAAAGAAAAGUUUAUGUACUCUGUAUUUAGCUGAGCUUGUGUACGCUGCAUGCAGAGUAUCUGUGACUGAAGAAUUUGCAAACAUGAAUACAUAAUGGCAGGGAGUCCUCUGUGUCUA
This is an RNA transcript of Triticum aestivum (bread wheat), 2732 nucleotides long. It is a transcript of the gene named putative pentatricopeptide repeat-containing protein At3g25970, with no coding region annotated. Lineage: Eukaryota; Viridiplantae; Streptophyta; Magnoliopsida; Poales; Poaceae. The transcript is spliced from 4 exons. The record is from RefSeq and is a predicted model, not a curated record.